GAUGAACGCUGGCGGCGUGCCUAACACAUGCAAGUCGAGCGAACGGACCAGGAGCUUGCGUGUCUGAUGCUAGCGGCGGAGGGGAGAGUCACACGUGUAUAACCUACCUAUCAGACUGGGAUAACUACGGGAAACCGGAUCUUAUACCGGAUGAUCUUUUGAACCGCGUUGGUCAAAAGUGAAAGUCGGUCUUUCUGUCACUAAUAGCUGGAUCCGCGCUGCAUUAGCUAGUUGUGAGGGAAACGGCAUAUCAAGGCAAGGAUGCAUACCCGGCCUGAGAGGGUGAUCGGCCACAUGGGAACUGAGACACGGUCCAGACUCCUACGGGAGGCAGCAGUAGGGAAUCGUCCGCAAUGGGCGAGAGCCUGACGGAGCAACGCCGCGUGAGUGAUGAAGGUCUUCGGAUCGUAAAGCUCUGUUAGUAGGGGAGAACAUAUGUGUAAUUAACUGUGCAGAUCUUGACGGUACCGGGUCAGAAAGCCACGGCUAACUACGUG
Molecule: ribosomal RNA, 497 nt
Filed under: uncultured bacterium
Lineage: Bacteria
Description: partial 16S ribosomal RNA
Rfam family: Bacterial small subunit ribosomal RNA
Source: RNAcentral